CGUACUUUCAUGAAUAUAUUUCUAAUAUUAUUUUUUCGUCUUGUAUUCUCGUUAAUUUUUCUCUAGGAAACACUGGAACGACACUGCUUAAAUUGAAGCACAGUGUGCGAAUGACCUGCUACGCUCGGAACUGUUAUCACCAUUCGGGAAGAAAUUGGGUAAGAAUGGAUUGUGUGUGGCGCGCUUCACCGCAUGUGGACUAGAGUAGAUCUAGGAACAUCAGACAAGAAGACACGUAUGUGAAACCCUGCGGAUAGCCCAUAUGUGAACUUUUUUUCCAGAUACGGAGGAACGGACACCGGUCGUGCCGUGAGCACUAUUCUGCAGGGCAUACUUACAAAUGAAGCUGCACUGCAGUUCAGCUGGAAAGGGUCGCAGGGGAGGAAGCACGCCUUCGUGAAGCUCAUGGCCAUCACGAAUAUAACAUCUGUGAGGAGCACGUUCCCUGACGCUUCACUAGCAUCAGUGGCUGGAGUCGCAAAACGCUGGUUGGUUGGAGCAGCUGACAGGGAUGGAGGCCGGAAUGAAAGAAGGCGCCGUGACCCUGCUUCAAGCCCACCAAAUAUGAACUAGUGUUUGAAACUUGUGAACGUGUCGGUGUACAUAUACAAUUACAAGAAAUAAAGACCUGUAUCAGAAUCUUUUGCCUGGCAUUUAUGUGGCAUGAAAAGUACAAAAA
Molecule: unclassified non-coding RNA, 679 nt
Filed under: Dermacentor andersoni
Lineage: Eukaryota; Metazoa; Arthropoda; Arachnida; Ixodida; Ixodidae
Description: uncharacterized LOC126527005
Source: RNAcentral